UACUGCAAAUAAAUAUUUUGCCAAGAACAUUCAUCUGGUUGGGCCAGCUGAAGGUUUGGAACAUUCUGAGUAAUGCAAACAAGUCCUAAUUGAACCUAUAAUGAUUGAAGUUGUAACAGAUACUACAUAACAGCGCCAGCUGAUAACAGCUAGCAGUGCUUACUGCUAACACGAAGAGCUUCACAAAUGAUGCAGUCACACUUUCUGUGCAAGAAGUACGAGAAAAGUGAGAGCAAGGCAAAACAAGAUUGCCACACACAUCCCAGUUUACAGCUCUGGGUCACGCAGCAGUUCACAUGACAGGUCAUGACAACACACGUACCCCACACAGUGCAGGACUGUGAUGGACAAAUCAUGGGAACGCAACACCUGAAGGAGUUAGUUAUAGUGCUCGAGAAAGAAUAACAAGAAAGGCAAUUUGACAAGCACUCUGAUGCUCCUUCAGUUGGUAAAGGUCUUUCUAUGUGCUUACUUCACAGAUACGCAUGAGAGCACAACAUCCCACCUCCUCAUCAUAUGACUCCAAGGACAUUCUGUUGCCAGGAUGCUGCGGCAUUCUCUACCUAAUUUUGUUGUUACGUGGGACAGCACUGGCCUGGGAGACCAGAAUAUUCUCUUUUGUGUGAUGUGCAAUAACUCAAAUUCAUAUAGACAUUUACACACAGAAUGCUGCUACUAAUAAACUGUUUUUUAUAUCAUAAA
Rhea pennata is the source of this 702-nucleotide long non-coding RNA. RefSeq lists it as uncharacterized. The record is from RefSeq and is a predicted model, not a curated record. Lineage: Eukaryota; Metazoa; Chordata; Aves; Rheiformes; Rheidae. The transcript has 2 exons.